GUUUGGGUACUGACUUGAUUUAUGGCAUAUUUUCUCCCCUUUGAUCAAUUUAUAAAUCAUUUAAUAACUAAGUUUAAAAUAUUAUGUGUAGGUCCGUUAAUGUCAUAUACAUCUCAACGCAUCUUCAUAUAUAUGCAUUCCUAACUUUCAAAUGUUUAACUUUAUGGCGUUCCUAAUGAAGGUCAAUCCGAAAGUUUACUAUGUGGCGUUCCUGAUGAAGGUCAAUCCGAAAGUUUACUUUAUGGCUUAUCUGAUGAAGGUUGAUCCGAAAGUUUACUUUGUGGCGUUCCUGAUGAAGGUCAAUCCGAAAGUUUACUUUGUGGCGUUCCUGAUGAAGAUCAAACCGAAAGUUUACUUUAUG
Molecule: long non-coding RNA, 361 nt
Filed under: Mytilus galloprovincialis (Mediterranean mussel)
Lineage: Eukaryota; Metazoa; Mollusca; Bivalvia; Mytilida; Mytilidae
Source: RNAcentral